UGCAUUCACUACUGUAAGUCACCUCUGGAUAAGAGCAUCUGCUAAAUGACUAAAA
Molecule: non-coding RNA, 55 nt
Organism: Salmo salar (Atlantic salmon)
Lineage: Eukaryota; Metazoa; Chordata; Actinopteri; Salmoniformes; Salmonidae
Source: Rfam